Molecule: non-coding RNA, 68 nt
Organism: Potamilus streckersoni
Lineage: Eukaryota; Metazoa; Mollusca; Bivalvia; Unionida; Unionidae
Source: the annotation of a GenBank genome assembly
GUUUGCUUAGUGGUUCGAGCGUCCGCCUCGAAUGCUUGAGGUCGCUGGUUCGAACCACGGCCAGGCCA